Molecule: long non-coding RNA, 517 nt
Filed under: Homo sapiens (human)
Lineage: Eukaryota; Metazoa; Chordata; Mammalia; Primates; Hominidae
Description: novel transcript
Source: RNAcentral
CAUGCCUUUGCUUGCCACCCAGCUUAGCCUCUUAUCUCAGCUUCUGAAACAUUCUUCAAUCUUCUGAAGGUGGCAGCUGUUAAUACAGAACUUGAUGAGGAAGAUGCCAGCAUCUCACCUGGAAUUCACAAAACCCUAGCCAGCCCUAACUCACAAGGGCCUGCACACCCUUUAAUCCAGCAAAAUUAACUCAAGAGCAUGUGGGACCUGAAAUCCAGUCUCUGCAUAUUAUUGCAAGUGCUUCAAGCAAAGAAAAGAACCUGAUUUCACAUUUGAGAUGCAUUUUAAACCAAAGGUCUGUUCUGGUACCUCCACAAGGAAGCAUCAAUCGGACCACAGAAAAUUUACAUCCAGGGAUUUGUCUUCUGGAAUGGAUCUCACUGACCUACAAGAAUUGAAUUUGCCCGUGUCUUCACAACACCUUGUUAGUGGUAUCAAAUCAGGAGAUUGAAGUGAGCCAUAGUGAGAGUAUGGACACCACAGAAAUCAACUUACAUAUCAAGGCUUUUUCUUUAUU